Molecule: ribosomal RNA, 517 nt
Filed under: uncultured Glomeromycotina
Lineage: Eukaryota; Fungi; Glomeromycota
Description: SSU rRNA
Rfam family: Eukaryotic small subunit ribosomal RNA
Source: RNAcentral
AGCAGCCGCGGUAUUCCAGCUCCAAUAGCGUAUAUUAAAGUUGUUGCAGUUAAAAAGCUCGUAGUUGAAUUUCGGGGUCAAUACGUCGGUCGUGCCUCGGUACGCACUAACGUUAUUGAUUCCUCCCUUCUGACGAACCGUGAUGUCAUUAAUUUGGUGUUGCGGGGAAUCAGGACUGUUACCUUGAAAAAAUUAGAGUGUUUAAAGCAGGCAAUCGCUCGAAUACAUUAGCAUGGAAUAAUGAAAUAGGACGUUCGAACCUAUUUUGUUGGUUUCUAGGAUCGACGUAAUGAUUAAUAGGGAUAGUUGGGGGCAUUAGUAUUCAAUUGUCAGAGGUGAAAUUCUUGGAUUUAUUGAAGACUAACUACUGCGAAAGCAUUUGCCAAGGAUGUUUUCAUUAAUCAAGAACGAAAGUUAGGGGAUCGAAGACGAUCAGAUACCGUCGUAGUCUUAACCAUAAACUAUGCCGACUAGGGAUCGGAUGAUGUUAAAAAAAUGACGCGCUCGGCACCUCAUG